GGCAAAUAUUCAGGUCUGGGCUAUCGUAUAAGGGGAUUUCGAUUAAAGAACUGAGUCAAGAGAGGUUUCAACAAUCGGGGGUUGUUUGUCGACGUUGUGGAACAAGUCAUUCAGAACCGAGAUUUCGGCCAUGGCAAUAGCCAUCUUCGCAGUCACAGGGGAGAGGAUUAGGACCAUCAUGGCGAGAUGGUCGAAGUCAGUCACGUUCAUCAUCUAGGCAGCCAAGCAGAGGACCUAACCAGCGUGGCAGAAUAAAUGUUGUUACCCAAACAGAGGCUGAUCAUCACUUAGGUAUGCAUGGCACCUCCGGGACAGGGGACGUCUCGGGAUAUAGAAAGAUGGGCUGAGUGGGUGAACUUACAUCUAUUGUAUUAUAUGUAAAUUUUUAACCGGAAAAACC
This is a long non-coding RNA of Andrographis paniculata, 400 nucleotides long. RefSeq lists it as uncharacterized. The transcript has 3 exons. The record is from RefSeq and is a predicted model, not a curated record. NCBI's taxonomy places the organism in Eukaryota, Viridiplantae, Streptophyta, Magnoliopsida, Lamiales, Acanthaceae.